GACGAACGCUGGCGGCGUGCUUAACACAUGCAAGUCGAACGGACAGACAGAGAGCUUGCUCUCUUGAAGUUAGUGGCGAACGGGUGAGUGACGCGUAAUCAACCUGCCCUUCAGAGGGGGAUAACAACGGGAAACCGUUGCUAAUACCGCGUACGAUUCAUGAACGGCAUCGUUUGUGAAUGAAAGGUGGCCUCUAUGUAUAAGCUAUCGCUGAAGGAGGGGAUUGCGUCUGAUUAGCUAGUUGGAAGGGUAACGGCCCACCAAGGCCAUGAUCAGUGGCCGGUCUGAGAGGGUGAGCGGCCACGUUGGGACUGAGACACGGCCCAAACUCCUACGGGAGGCAGCAGUGGGGAAUCUUCCGCAAUGGACGAAAGUCUGACGGAGCAACGCCGCGUGAGUGAUGAAGGUCUUCGGAUUGUAAAGCUCUGUUAAUCGGGACGAAAGAGUUCUGCGUGAAUAAUGCAGAAAAGUGACGGUACCGGAAUAGAAAGCCACGGCUAACUACGUGCCAGCCGCCGCAGUAA
This 524-nucleotide ribosomal RNA is filed under the name uncultured bacterium. Its description in RNAcentral is "partial 16S ribosomal RNA". It matches the Rfam family "Bacterial small subunit ribosomal RNA", at positions 28 to 523 of the family's 1533-position model. The record is from RNAcentral.